UCUUGAAAGUGAUAAUGAUAUUAUGGUUGUAUGUAAGGAUUUCCAAGUUCUUGAGAAAUGCUACUUCUAGUAUUUAAUGGUAAAGUUCAUGUCUGCAACCUAAAAUGUUAAUAAGUAAGUUUUCUA
Molecule: long non-coding RNA, 126 nt
Organism: Herpailurus yagouaroundi (jaguarundi)
Lineage: Eukaryota; Metazoa; Chordata; Mammalia; Carnivora; Felidae
Exons: 3
Source: RefSeq, a predicted model, not a curated record